GCCUAAAGCGUCCGUAGCCGGCUUUGUAAGUUUUCGGUUAAAUCUAUAUGCUCAACAUAUAGGCUGCCGGAAAUACUGCAAAGCUAGGGAGUGGGAGAGGUAGACGGUACUCCGUAGGAAGGGGUAAAAUCCUUUGAUCUAUGGAUGACCACCUGUGGCGAAGGCGGUCUACCAGAACACGUUCGACGGUGAGGGAUGAAAGCUGGGGGAGCAAACCGGAUUAGAUACCCGGGUAGUCCCAGCUGUAAACUAUGCAAACUCAGUGAUGCAUUGGCUUGUGGCCAGUGCAGUGCCGCAGGGAAGCCGUUAAGUUUGCCGCCUGGGAAGUACGUACGCAAGUAUGAAACUUAAAGGAAUUGGCGGGGGAGCACCACAAGGGGUGAAGCCUGCGGUUCAAUUGGAGUCAACGCCAGAAAUCUUACCCGGAGAGACAGCAGGAUGAAGGUCAAGCUGAAGACUUUACCAGACAAGCUGAGAAGUGGUGCAUGGCCGUCGCCAGCUCGUGCCGUGAGAUGUCCUGUUAAGUCAGGUAACGAGCGAGAUCCUUGCCUCUAGUUGCCACCAUUACUCUCAGGAGUAGUGGGGCGAAUUAGCGGGACUGCCGUAGUUAAUACGGAGGAAGGAGAGGGCCACGGCAGGUCAGUAUGCCCCGAA
Molecule: ribosomal RNA, 654 nt
Filed under: uncultured archaeon
Lineage: Archaea
Description: bacterial SSU rRNA
Rfam family: Archaeal small subunit ribosomal RNA
Source: RNAcentral